RNAcentral lists this unclassified non-coding RNA (1703 nucleotides) under Neodiprion lecontei (redheaded pine sawfly). RNAcentral's name for it is "protein henna, transcript variant X5". Lineage: Eukaryota; Metazoa; Arthropoda; Insecta; Hymenoptera; Diprionidae. The record is from RNAcentral.
ACUCCACCUUCGGUAUAUAAUAAAACUUGAGACUCUCUUGCCGGAUGGAUUGUUUCUCACUGCAGGCGCGUGAAUGCGUUGAGAGAAUCGAGAAGCGAACGCUAACCCGGGUCGAUUUAUCGUCGAGCAUCGAAAUGACACCGAAUCCAAUGGUCCCAGAUCCGAAACUCAUGGACGGUGGAAACUACAUCAAGGAAGGCAGAGACUCGGCCAAAAGCACUUGCCUGAUAUUCUCACCCCGGGAAGACGACGAGGUCGGGAGUCUAGGACGCUACUUGAAACUAUUCGCAAAGCACAAAGUCAACCUCCUCCACAUCGAGUCAAGGAGCUCGGCUCGGACCGUCGACAACUAUGAAUUCAUGGUGGAGUGCGCACCUGGCGGUGACUUGGCUGCCGUUAUCGAAACUCUGCGCGACCAGUGCGGAUACUUCUCUAUAAUAUCCAGGAACCACAAGGACAACCUGGGCACCGUUCCGUGGUUCCCCGGCAGGAUACGAGACUUGGACAGAUUCGCGAACCAGAUUCUAUCCUACGGUUCUGAACUGGACUCUGAUCAUCCCGGAUUUACAGACACGGUUUACAGAGCGAGGAGGAAGUACUUCGCCGACAUCGCCUACCACUACAAACAUGGAGAGCCCAUUCCACGGGUCGAUUACACUCCCGCAGAAACCGCCACGUGGGGUGUCGUAUUCAGGAAACUGACGUCGAUGUACCCGAAGUACGCCUGCAGGGAACACAAUCACGUGUUUCCGCUGCUUAUAGAGAACUGCGGCUACAGGGAGGACAACAUUCCGCAGCUUGAGGAUAUCUCGAAUUUCCUAAAAGAUUGCACGGGGUUCACGCUUCGUCCAGUCGCCGGUCUUCUUUCGUCGCGCGACUUCCUCGCCGGCUUGGCCUUCCGAGUCUUUCACAGCACCCAGUACAUCAGGCACAGCAGCAAACCUCUCUACACCCCGGAACCCGACGUUUGCCACGAGGUCCUUGGCCAUGUUCCACUUUUCGCAGACCCGGCAUUCGCGCAGUUCUCUCAGGUCAUCGGGCUCGCCUCCCUCGGAGCUCCGGACGAGUACAUCGAGAAGCUCGCCACCUGCUUUUGGUUCACCGUUGAAUUCGGCCUCUGUAGACAAAACGGAGAACUGAAGGCUUACGGUGCCGGGCUUUUGUCGUCCUACGGUGAGCUGGAAUACAGCCUGAGCGACAAGCCGGAGCUGAGACCAUUCGAUCCGGCAAAAACGGCGCUUCAGAAAUACCCAAUAACCGAAUAUCAGCCGGUCUACUUCGUCGCCGAGGAUUUCGAGGACGCGAAGGAAAAGAUGAUAAAAUUCGCCCAAACGAUUCCGAGGAAAUUUGGCGUCAGAUACGAUCCGUACACGCAAAGUGUUAACAUCAUCGACAGCAAACACCAAAUCGAAGAUUUAGUCACGAACGUUAAUCAGGAAGUUCAACUUUUGAUGGACGCGUUGAAAAAGCUGAAGGAUUAAACUUAUUGUUUUUAAUAAUAAUUGAUAUUAUUGUUAUACCUAUGUACAUUUUACGAUAAGAAUUCUUAACGCGGUAUAAAAUUUUCUAUUUGUUAUAUUUAAAGUAAUGUCAGUUUUUUUUUUUUUUUUUUUUAUUAUAAAAGUGAAGACGGAAAUACAUAUGUAGGUAGAUUAUACAUCAUGAUUGUGUGGUGUGUAUGAAAAUCUAUUUUUUUCUGUCGA